Molecule: ribosomal RNA, 773 nt
Filed under: uncultured Neocallimastigales
Lineage: Eukaryota; Fungi; Neocallimastigomycota; Neocallimastigomycetes; Neocallimastigales
Description: partial large subunit ribosomal RNA
Rfam family: Eukaryotic large subunit ribosomal RNA
Source: RNAcentral
GUACACGCUGUGACUAGCAUAUCAAUAAGCGGAGGAAAAGAGACUAACAAGGAUUCCCCUAGUAACGGCGAGUGAAGCGGGAAGAGCUCAAAUUUGAAAUCUUAAAGGGUUUCCCUUUACGAAUUGUAGUUUAAAGAAGUGUUUUCUGUUGAGGUUUUGGUAAAAGUUCUUUGGAAUAAGACAUCAUAGAGGGUGAGAAUCCCGUAUUUGACCUUUACUUUCAACUUUGUGAUACACUUUCAAAGAGUCGGAUUGUUUGGGAAUGCAGUCCAAAAUGGGUGGUAAAUUUCAUCUAAAGCUAAAUAUUGGCGAGAGACCGAUAGCGAACAAGUACCGUGAGGGAAAGAUGAGAAGAACUUUGAAAAGAGAGUUAAACAGUACGUGAAAUUGUCAAAAGGGAAGCGUUUGACACCAGUGUUGUUUUUCUGAAAAUCAAUUAAAGAACUGUUUAUGCUAAGUUGUUUAGACUUUAUCAGCUAACUGUUUAGUUUUGAGCUUUUCUUUAAUGCACUUUUCAGUUAACAAGUCAACAUCAAUUUCUUUUGCUGUAAAAAGCUUGAGGAAGGUGGCUUGAGAUUCGUCUUAAGUGUUUAUAGCCUCUUGCCUAUGCAGUCGGAGAGAUUGAGGUCUGCAGCGUAGAUCCUUCGGGGCUAAAUGCAUUUGUGCUAAGUUAUAGCAUUUUAUAGACAACUUGUUGACUAUGAUUUGUCUUGUAGCUUACUCGCUUAUGUUAUUUUACCUACGCUUAGGAUGUUGACGCGCGUGUGUGCGUG